RNAcentral lists this ribosomal RNA (1425 nucleotides) under metagenome. Its description in RNAcentral is "bacterial LSU rRNA". It matches the Rfam family "Bacterial large subunit ribosomal RNA", at positions 1470 to 2881 of the family's 2925-position model. The record is from RNAcentral.
UGACGCAUAGAGUUAAUCGAGCUCACUGAUGGAAUAGUGGGUCGAAGGACGUAGGUUGUUAAGUAGGCAAAUCCGCUUAACGUUAGACCGAGAUCUUACAGGCUCUUGACACUCUUCGGAGGAGAUGGAGAAUCGAUGAUACUGUCGUGCCAAGAAAAGCCACUAAGUUUAUUAUAUGUUGCCCGUACCGUAAACCGACACAGGUGGGUGGGAUGAGUAUUCUAAGGCGCGUGGAAGAACCCUCUUUAAGGAACUCUGCAAAAUAGCACCGUAUCUUCGGUAUAAGGUGUGCCUACUUUGGUAUAUGGACUUGCUCCAAAAAGCUAGAGAGGUUGCAACAAAGAGUCCCUCCCGACUGUUUACCAAAAACACAGCACUUUGCUAACACGUAAGUGGAUGUAUAAGGUGUGACGCCUGCCCGGUGCUCGAAGGUUAACUGAUGAUGUCAGCGCAAGCGAAGCAUUUGAUUGAAGCCCGAGUAAACGGCGGCCGUAACGAUAACGGUCCUAAGGUAGCGAAAUUCCUUGUCAGUUAAAUACUGACCUGCAUGAAUGGCGUAACGAGAUGGGAGCUGUCUCAAAGAGGGAUCCAGUGAAAUUGUAGUGGAGGUGAAAAUUCCUCCUACCCGCGGAAAGACGGAAAGACCCCGUGCACCUUUACUACAGCUUGACACUGUAGCUUGGAUAUUCAUGUGCAGGAUAGGUGGGAGGCUAUGAUGACUAGACGCAAGUAGAGUCGGAGCCAUCCUUGAGAUACCACCCUUGAAUAUUUGAGUUACUAACUGCGAUGAGUUAUCCUCAUUCAGGACAAUGUCUGGUGGGUAGUUUGACUGGGGCGGUCGCCUCCUAAAUAGUAACGGAGGCUUACAAAGGUUAGUUCAAAGCGGUUGGAAAUCGCUUGUUGAGUAUAAUGGCAUAAACUAGCUUGACUGUGAGACCUACAAGUCGAACAGAGACGAAAGUCGGUCAUAGUGAUCCGGUGGUUCUGCGUGGAAGGGCCAUCGCUCAAAGGAUAAAAGGUACGCCGGGGAUAACAGGCUGAUCUCCCCCAAGAGCUCACAUCGACGGGGAGGUUUGGCACCUCGAUGUCGGCUCAUCGCAUCCUGGGGCUGUAGUCGGUCCCAAGGGUAUGGCUGUUCGCCAUUUAAAGCGGUACGCGAGCUGGGUUCAGAACGUCGUGAGACAGUUCGGUCCCUAUCUUCCGUGGGCGUAGGAAAGUUGAAGAGAUUUGUCCCUAGUACGAGAGGACCGGGAUGAACCAACCACUGGUGUACCAAUUGUUCUGCCAAGAGCAUCGUUGGGUAGCCACGUUGGGAUGUGAUAAGAGCUGAAAGCAUCUAAGCUCGAAGCCAACUCUAAGAUGAACUUUCCCUGGAGUUCCCAGCAAGACUAGCUGGUUGAUAGGCUGGAUGUGUAAUGGGUGUAA